This 254-nucleotide ribosomal RNA is filed under the name uncultured bacterium. RNAcentral describes it as "partial 16S ribosomal RNA". It matches the Rfam family "Bacterial small subunit ribosomal RNA", at positions 15 to 149 of the family's 1533-position model. The record is from RNAcentral.
GAUCAUGGCUCAGGACGAACGCUGGCGGCGCGCCUAACACAUGCAAGUCGAACGGAGUUAUUUUCUUCACUCCGAGCUUUUUGCCAGUUAGCCAGAGCGGCAAUCGGUUUUGCCCAGCAUAAAAAGCAAAACCGAUUUAGGCUCACAAAGUAAGACUAACACUAGAGGGCAGAGAGUUGGGAGUGAAGAAAAUAACUUAGUGGCGAACGGGUGAGUAACGCGUGAGUAACCUGCCCUGGAGUGGGGGACAACAG